RNAcentral lists this ribosomal RNA (376 nucleotides) under uncultured Glomeromycotina. RNAcentral describes it as "LSU rRNA". The record is from RNAcentral. Lineage: Eukaryota; Fungi; Glomeromycota.
UUGAAAGGGAAACGAUUGAAGUCAGUCGUACCAGCGGGAAAUCAACCUUUCGAGUGGGGGUUUUGGAGCUUUUUGAAGAGUGUCAAAACCUUUGAGAUUUCAAAAUAUUCGCUCUUUUGGUGUACUUUCUCGUGGGUAGGUUAACAUCGAUUUUGAUCAUCAUAAAAAGAUUGGAGGAUGUAGCUUCGAUCUUGUAUUGAAGUGUUAUAGCCUUUGGUAAAUGUGAUGAUUAGGAUCGAGGAUUGCAACGAAUACCCUUUUGGGCUAUCCGCCUGAUCUCUGAUACGUGGCCUUGGUAUCGAAAGCGUGCUUAUGGUAUUGAGGUAUUACGGUCAAAAGGUUAGAACGGAUUACAUUCGUUAAGGAUGUUGACGUA